Molecule: long non-coding RNA, 1593 nt
Organism: Schistocerca gregaria
Lineage: Eukaryota; Metazoa; Arthropoda; Insecta; Orthoptera; Acrididae
Exons: 4
Source: RefSeq, a predicted model, not a curated record
AGCAGUGAGUGUCGCGGCUAUUAUGUUAGACUGUGAUUUUUACCGUCCCUUCCCCUGUGACGUUGUAUUGUCUAAAAAAGGAGGUCCAUAAGUGUCGCCAGAAAUAGUGUCUUCUUAAAACUAGACAGUUGCGUUCUUGAAUUUCAUUUAUAAUUUUGUUUAUCUCGUGACAGAAAAUUUUUACCCUGGUAAUUCAGACGCUCACUGUGUUCAGUGUGCAGAUUUUUCGCGUCUGUUAAUAUCUACUACAUUGCAUUUUGCGUAAGUAGAGCAUAAUUGUUUUAUUCUAGUGUUGGUUUUGCGGAUUUCGUUAUUCACACGCGCAUUAUACAUGAGGUCGUGUCUAUGAGGUAUCGUCACAACAACAGUGUUUUUCAUCUUAUUUACGUUUAAAAAAUCCCUCAAACCUGUUAUGCACUUUCCGGCUUCGCUAUGAGCUACGUCGUUGCCACCCGUCACAUAAACUACGAUGUCACUGUUCUUCAGUGUAUUCCCGUGUUCUGAGACACGAGCUUUUAUCGGGAUAUUUCAGGAGGGCACGUGGAAACACUAGAUACUGUUGACAGUAUAUGCACACCUGAUUUGAAACCAUUCAAAGUGCGACGCAUUUUACGUAGCUGCUGUUUGUUUCCGGUCAAGAGCAAUAAUAUUGUGGUUGGGCAAUAAGCGUGAACAGUGAAAAAUCCGAUAAGUUUGGCUUGGGCACCUCGUUCAUCUGAUGUUAAAUGGCGCAGAUAACAAAUUAAACCAUUAUUAGCUUGAAAUUGCCCCAGGUGUAACUGCCCAGUAUUAUUCCGAGUCGAUCCAAUAGAAGGUACGUCCUGCAUCUCAACUUUCAUGGUGUCGCCUUUCGUUGUCAUAGCUCCGUAACAAACGGCUCUCGAGUGUCAACUAUUUACGAGAAUAGAAGGCUGGGAAUUUGCAGACUAGCUGCCCCAUUGCGACUCUGCGGCCGCGAACUUGGGAAGGCUGACGGUUGUGGACACACCAUCGCACGUCGCUAAGCAACCUAGACACUACCGGAACACUCCAAAGGCCGCACAGCUGCUACGUGAAACGAGUUCUUAACGAGGUUGUGCGAUGUCUCCUGAUGAGUUCUGUUAUGCUCAUGGUGAACACAGUUUAUUGAAAAAUAGACAGAACAUCACUAACUUCAUAAAGUAAACAAUAUUUGGCAUCUUUGGUAUUCAUUUUGUGGAUAAAGAACAGCCAUGCACUCCCUAUAGGGCAGCACCAAUUUCACCUGACAGAACUCUUGUAUGGCUGCCCUAUUUUUACUUGUAAGAUCUGUUGCAACCUUCAUCAGAAGAAGAUGAUUUAUGGAAAAUGGUCUCUGGAUGAAAACACAUACAACACUGGUGCAAUAUUCUACAAUAUUUAUUAUUUGUUCCACAAACUGAUUAUUAGCUGUUACACGAUCAUCUGGUACAAAGUUAAGUGUAUGGUGCAGAGAUAUUCUGUUGGAUCUUCAUUUCCAGAUAUGAAAAUAUUUAGCAAUGAAAUAAGAUUAUUUCAGUGUAAAUGUAAUAUCAUCUUUUGUAACUAAGAGAAAAUAUGUGACAAAUCAACAGAUGAAUGAUGUACAAAUUAAAA